AAAAACAUGUCUUUUUGGUUAUUUAAUAUAAAGUCUGACCUGCCCACUGAAUUUAAUUUUUGAAGGGCCGCAGUAUUUUGACUGUGCAAAGGUAGCAUAAUCAUUAGUCUUUUAAUUGAAGGCUGGUAUGAAUGGUUGGAUGAGGUACAAGCUGUGUCAUAAAAAUUAAUAAUUGAAUUUAACUUUUUAGUCAAAAGGCUAAAAUUUAAUUAAAAGACGAGAAGACCCUAUAGAGCUUUAUAUAAUGAUUAUUUAAUUUAUUAAGAUUUAUUAAAUUUAAUUAUUUUAUUAUAUUUUGUUGGGGUGACAAUAAAAUUUAUAAAACUUUUAUUAUUAUUUUACAUUUAUUUAUGAUUCUAUGAUCCAGUUUUAUUGAUUAUAAAUUUAAGUUACCUUAGGGAUAACAGCGUAAUUUUUUUUGAGAGUUCAUAUCGACAAAAAAGAUUGCGACCUCGAUGUUGGAUUAAGAGUAAUUUUGGGUGUAGAAGUUCAAAGUUUAAGUCUGUUCGACUUUUAAAUUCUUACAUGAUCUGAGUUCAAAACCGGGAGA
Molecule: ribosomal RNA, 550 nt
Filed under: Simulium cormonsi
Lineage: Eukaryota; Metazoa; Arthropoda; Insecta; Diptera; Simuliidae
Description: partial 16S ribosomal RNA
Rfam family: Bacterial large subunit ribosomal RNA
Source: RNAcentral